UACAGAGGUCCCAAGCGUUGUUCGGAUUCAUUGGGCGUAAAGGGUGCGUAGGCGGUCGCCUAAGUCAGGUGUGAAAUCUCGAGGCUCAACCUCGAAACUGCACUUGAUACUGGGUGACUUGAGUACUGGAGGGGAGACUGGAAUUUACGGUGUAGCAGUGAAAUGCGUAGAUAUCUGCAGGAACACCCGUGGCGAAAGCGGCGCGCUGGACCACUACUGACGCUGAGGAACGAAAGCUAGGGGAGCAAACAGG
This 253-nucleotide ribosomal RNA is filed under the name uncultured bacterium. RNAcentral's name for it is "partial 16S ribosomal RNA". It matches the Rfam family "Bacterial small subunit ribosomal RNA", at positions 524 to 776 of the family's 1533-position model. The record is from RNAcentral.